CCUCAGCAAGACUGAAACUAAGCACGAACAAGGUUCAGUAAUGUGUCCUGUGAAUAUGCAGGCUGGUGAUACUUCCUUUACAUACACACACGAGUCCUACAUCCUUUGGAGAAGUUCCACAGGACUGGGAGUUUUCUUCACUAUUUAGGACAAGCUGAAUGAUGAGCUGCUAAACCUGGACGAGCUGUGAACAUGCUCAGAGCAGCCUGCGUGGCCCAGCAGGAAUUAGGCUAAGUUAAACAAAGAGAGGCCUCUGCRCUCUGAUAGUCCCGAAGCCACAGUUUUUUCCAUCACAGUUUUAAAGUUUUCCUCAACUGCGGUUGAAUUCUGAGUUUUUGUGAAGGUGAGGGAGUGCCUCCAGAGACAGCACGCUGCUGAGAAGAAUUAGAAGACCAAAGACGGACAUGUAGGACUUUAUUUAAUAUAGAGAAGGAGCAGCUGUGUGCCAAACACUUUUUGGUCUUUCACUGUUGUCCACAUGUGUGCAUGUAUGCCUGGAGUUACAUUAGUUUCCUUAAGAA
Nothoprocta perdicaria is the source of this 521-nucleotide long non-coding RNA. RefSeq lists it as uncharacterized. The record is from RefSeq and is a predicted model, not a curated record. The transcript has 6 exons. Lineage: Eukaryota; Metazoa; Chordata; Aves; Tinamiformes; Tinamidae.